CCUCUUCCUCUACAGCUGUUCAUAUGUUUUCACAUUUUUAACUUCUUCCAGCCAUCUUACUCUACUGCUUGUCAUCCUUUUUAGCCCCUUUUCACCAUUUUAACCUCUUCCAGCCCUCUUUCUCCACAGCUUGUCACAGUUUUUCACCUCAAUAACCUCUUCCAGCCUCUUACUCUACAACUUUUCCUACCUUUUCACCUUCUUAACCUCUCCAAUCCCUUCUUACUCUACAACUUUUCACAUGUUUUCACCUUUUUAACCUCUUCCAGCCUCUUACUCUACUGCUUGUCAUCCUUUUUAGCCUUUUUUCACCGUUUUAACCUCUUCCAGCCCUCUUACUCUACAGCUUUUCAUCCAUCUUCACCUUUUUUAUGCUUUUUCGGCCCUCUUACUCUACAUCUUCUCAUCCUUUUUUUACCAUUUUAACCUCUUCCAGCCCUCUUACUGAACAGCUUUUCAUCAUUUUCUUACCUUUUGAGGCUCUUUCAGCCUUUAACUUUUCACCUUUUAGCCUUUUUUCAACAUUUUAACCUAUUCCAGCCCUCUUACUCUACAACUGUUCAUAUUUCUUCACCUUUUUAACCUCCUCCAGCCCUCUUCCUCUACAGCUUUUCAUCCCUUUCAUUCCUUUUUCACCUAUUUAAGCUCUUUCAUCCUAUAACUUUUCACCUUUUUAGCCUUCUUUCACCAUUUUAACAUUUUCCUGCCCUCUUAAUCUACAGCUUUUCACCUUUCUUUCAACAUUCUUAGAGUUUUAUGAAUUUUCGGCAGGUCGUUCGGCAGAUCUCGCUUCAGCCUGCAGCAUUCACACUGUAUUUUCGCAGGAAAUACAAAUUUUUCUAGUUGGAUUUAAUGUUUUGAAAUCAUGUUUUAACCUACCCAAAACUUCACCAUCUUAAAAGUCGAAUUUUUGCCUUCGUGAAAAGAUGCAACAUGAUAAUGAUCAUUUGUCAUUCAAAAGAAUUAUAACCUGAUUAAGACAUGAAGCCAUAAAGUAUACAACAUAUAACAAUAAAGUAUACAAUACACAGUAGAACCAAGGACUUAUACAUAUUCCUUGUAGUUCUAUCUU
RNAcentral lists this long non-coding RNA (1072 nucleotides) under Sparus aurata (gilthead seabream). RNAcentral's name for it is "lncRNA (ENSSAUG00010005640.1)". Lineage: Eukaryota; Metazoa; Chordata; Actinopteri; Spariformes; Sparidae. The record is from RNAcentral.